This 208-nucleotide ribosomal RNA is filed under the name uncultured bacterium. RNAcentral describes it as "partial 16S ribosomal RNA". It matches the Rfam family "Bacterial small subunit ribosomal RNA", at positions 568 to 774 of the family's 1533-position model. The record is from RNAcentral.
CGAGCAUCCGGUUGUGUUAGUCUCAUGUUAAAUCUCACUGCUCAACGGUGAGGCCGCGUGGGAAACGGCACGACUAGAGUGGGUAAGAGGCACACGGAACGUGCAGUGUAGGGGUGGAAAUCCAUUGAUAUUGCACGGAACACCAAAAGCGAAGGCAGUGUGCUAGUGCUCUACUGACGGUCAAUCGCGAAAGUGUGGGGAUCAAAAA